This 156-nucleotide unclassified non-coding RNA is filed under the name uncultured Helotiales. Its description in RNAcentral is "sequence contains ITS1". The record is from RNAcentral. Lineage: Eukaryota; Fungi; Ascomycota; Leotiomycetes; Helotiales.
UCGAGAAUCUGCCUCCGGGCAAUCUCCCACCCUUUGUUUACAUACCAUGUUGCUUUGGCAGGCCCGCCCUCGGGCCACCGGCUACGGCUGGUCAGCGCCUGCCAGAGGUCAUCAAACUCUUGUUUAUGUGUCGUCUGAGUUAAAAUAUAAUCGUUA